This 381-nucleotide long non-coding RNA is filed under the name Capsicum annuum. RNAcentral's name for it is "long non-coding RNA (CANN_LNC017355)". The record is from RNAcentral. Lineage: Eukaryota; Viridiplantae; Streptophyta; Magnoliopsida; Solanales; Solanaceae.
ACGUAUUUAUAUAUAUAAUAUACGUCAUUUUAUUUGUACAGGCCUCAAAAAUUGAUGAAAAAUUUCUUCAUUGGCCACAAAGGGAAAUAACAAAUGACUCAAAAAUAACCCUAACACUAUCUAUUUAUAUUAGUCCACAAAGGGAUAUAACAAAUGACCAUCCUAUCAUUGCCAAGGGGUGGCCGUGGAGUGUAAGUUUAUUACCUUUCAAGGCUCCUCUUCACACUUAAAAACAUUUAAUCCAUUGGAAGGCUCAAGUACCAACUCACACACGGACAUUUGCAUGAACAUAGUUUGGAGUUUUUGUAACUCCCGAGCUUGGCUACGUGUGAAUGGUCAUGAACUUGUUGGACAGCUUGUAGAACAUGUUGGACAGCUUGG